UCCUACGGGAGGCAGCAGUGGGGAAUAUUGGACAAUGGGGGGAACCCUGAUCCAGCCAUGCCGCGUGUGUGAAGAAGGCCCUCGGGUUGUAAAGCACUUUCAGCGAGGAAGAACACCUAGGGGUUAAUACCCGAUACGAAAGACAUCACUCGCCCAACAAGCACCGGCUUACUCCGGGCCAGCAGCCGCGGUAAUACGGAGGGUGCAAGCGUUAAUCGGAAUUACUGGGCGUAAAGCGCGUGUAGGUGGCUUGAUAAGCCGGUUGUGAAAGCCCCGGGCUCAACCUGGGAACGGCAUCCGGAACUGUCAAGCUAGAGUGCAGGAGAGGAAGGUAGAAUUCCCGGUGUAACGGUGAAAUGCGUAGAGAUCGGGAGGAAUACCAGUGGCUAACGCUGCCUUCUGGACUGGCACUGACACUGAAGUGCGAAAGCGUGGGUAGCACACAGGAUUAGAUACCCUGGUAGUCCACGCCGUAAACGAUGUCUACCAGCCGUUGGGUGCCUAGCGCACUAUGUGGCCAAGUUAACGCGAUAAGUCGACCGCCUGUGGAGUACAGUCGCAAGGUUACAACUCAGAUGAAUUGACGG
This 587-nucleotide ribosomal RNA is filed under the name uncultured bacterium. RNAcentral describes it as "bacterial SSU rRNA". It matches the Rfam family "Bacterial small subunit ribosomal RNA", at positions 337 to 916 of the family's 1533-position model. The record is from RNAcentral.